This 2133-nucleotide ribosomal RNA is filed under the name Triticum aestivum (bread wheat). RNAcentral describes it as "partial small subunit ribosomal RNA". Lineage: Eukaryota; Viridiplantae; Streptophyta; Magnoliopsida; Poales; Poaceae. The record is from RNAcentral.
AGCAGCGGGGGAAUUCCAUCCGAACAAGCCCAUUUCACACGUUCCCUGGAGCGCCGCGAUUCACGGCCGGCCGCCGCCCGCCGACCGCCGCGAGGCAAGAAAAGGAAAGAAUUUCCCCGGAAGAGAUGGUGUACGCGCCGCCGCCCGACGGCAUGGGCCUGGAAAUCGACCUCGACCUGGACCCGGAGGACCUCCACCCGACGGUGCCCCUGAAGAAGGUCCCCGCGGGGGACCUCUUCGAGGCGGCGCGGGCCGGCGACUGCGACCGCCUCGCGCUCCUCCUCGAGGCCGGCGCCAACGUCAACGCGCGCGACCGCUGGGACUCCGUCGCGCUCUACUACGCCUGCCUCGCCGGCCACGCCGACGCCGCGCGGAUGCUGCUCGAGGCCGGGGCCGUCUGCGCCGAGCGCACCUUCGACGGCGACCGCUGCCACUACGCGGCGCUCAACCUCGACCUCCGGAGGCUCCUCAAGUCGUUCGAGGCGCGGCCGCCCCCGCUCGCGCCGCUGCCCGCCGCGCUGCGGACCACCUUCCUCGCGUGCCCCGCCAACCGCGCCGCCUACCUCGAGAUGUUGCUCCAGGAGGGCGCCACCGCCGAAGCCGCUGCGCUAGCUGAGGCCGAAGGAUUUGGGCCAACAGAUGGUGCAUCAACUGGCAGUCUGUUCCCCCCAGAUAUUACAUUUUACGUGGAUGGAAAACCUAUUGAAGCUCAUCGGAUCAUCCUUUGUGCUCGAUCGCCCUUCUUUGAACAUAAAUUCGAGACAGACUGGAAAAACAGGAAGGAAGUGAGAUUUUCUAAUAAAAAAUUAUCAUUUGGUGCCUUGUACAACCUUAUCCAUUUCUUCUAUGCCGAUAGACUCGAGGCUCCAGUAGAUGAAAUGGAAAGUUUGUCACGCACUUGCAAAGUUUGCAAGUGUGAGGAGUUGCGUAAGUUAGUUGAUAAAGAAAUUCUGCAUCUUAGGUUUGCACUGUAUAAGUCAACAAGUAAGUUGGGUUUGGAAAAUUCACAGAGUCCGAGACGGUUCAUUUUACUCGGGCAGUCAUUGCCACGAGAAGAUCGUCUUCCAUCGGCAUUGCGGCGUGUUCUUCAGAAAUGUCUAGCUAAUUCAAGAGAAGAAGAGUUCAAAAAAACUCUAGCAAAUGAGAUCUGCAGAAACUGGAAGGAUGAUGAUCUUGCUGAUCUCACUGUAAAAGUAGAUGAUACAGUCUUUCGUUGCCAUCAGGUGAUUUUGGCCUCAAGGUCAGAGUAUUUUAAAACCAGACUAUCUCGAACAGUGGAUUUUCUUGAAGGUAACAAUCGAGUGCAUGCAUCUCUGGGUCUCCCAUUUCUUGAGGAGCAUGACCUGAGUACGGAAGCAUUUGAAAAGAUGCUUGAAUACAUGUAAGAUCCCUUUGCACUUUUUCUUGCUUAACCAUUAUUGUUAUUGUUACUGCUCUUGUCUGGUUUAUUCCCUGCUUGUGUUAAUUUUAGGUAUACUGACAAUCUGGAGCAUAUGCAUCCAACCCAGGCUGAAGAACUAUUUGAUGUCGCAUCGAGAUACCUGCUGUUUCCCCUUAGGCGUGCUGUAGCUGAUUUACUGUUACCAAAUCUGGAACAUGUUUCACCUGCAGAGCUGUGCCAUUGGUUGAUCUUGUCAGACAUUUAUGGCGUUAUGAAAAUAAGGGAGUACUGCCUGGAUAUCAUUGCCUACAAUUUCGAGAUGUUUGCGGACAUAAGAGAGUUCAGGGCUUUGCUCUUGACACUCCCACCGCCAUCUGCAAAUGACGCACUACGAACGACUCGUCCCAGCCAGCCCGGGGCUGCAGGGCACACUGACCAAGGCAAUAUUCUCGAUGACUUGCGUGAGAAAUGGUUGGAAGCGGAGGCUGCUGAGCUAGACGAGAGAGAUCAGAGCGCAGCGCUGUUUGACCAGCGACUGGAGAUGCUCAUGCUUGUUGCGGAGCGGGAAGCCUGUGAUGAUGACAAUGCUGCCCUCCACUGAGGGCUGGAACUCUAUACCUUUCUUGUGUAGCUCUUCCUUUUGUAGUCUUUGCUGGAAGGGACUGAUGUAGUGUUUCUGAAUUACAUGUCUCCCCUUUGUUUUACAAUGGAUGCUUCUUACACUGGAAUGAAACCUUUUUGGAGCUUCAGCA